UGGUGGGGUGACUUGUCUGCCUAAUCGCGAUAACGAACGAGACCUUAACCUGCUAAAUAGCCCGUAUUGCUUUGGCAGUACGCUGGCUUCUUAGAGGGACUAUCGGCGCAAGCCGAUGGAAGUUUGAGGCAAUAACA
This 137-nucleotide ribosomal RNA is filed under the name uncultured eukaryote. RNAcentral describes it as "partial 18S ribosomal RNA". It matches the Rfam family "Eukaryotic small subunit ribosomal RNA", at positions 1299 to 1458 of the family's 1831-position model. The record is from RNAcentral.